Non-coding RNA from Odocoileus virginianus texanus, 1060 nucleotides. The record is from RefSeq and is a predicted model, not a curated record. Lineage: Eukaryota; Metazoa; Chordata; Mammalia; Artiodactyla; Cervidae.
UUGAGUGUUCCCUCGCCCAGGACCGCACAAACACCUUGGAAACUCACGAGUCCAACAACCCUCAGCCUCCCCGGCCCCCCCACGCGGGCGUCACACCAUCGUGAGCAGUGCAGUAAACUGUCUAGCUGCAGGUGGAACUUUUACGACCCGAACACCCCUCAUCUAGACCAGGCGAUCCAAAUUAAGUUCCCACUAUCACACGGUCUACACAGAGACAAUCUAAGCCACUACCGGGGACGAAGAACAUUCCUACGCACGUCAGCAACCAAAUUGUCAUCUAUGUUUGUGUCUGCACCUACACAGAAACAGGAGUCCAGAUUUGCAUAUGACUGGACAGGACGAUUAGCUCCUGGGAGUCACACCCACUCAGGCUCUCUAAAGACGUUAACUUCGUGUGCGCGCAAAAGAUAAAGCGUCUAACUUCCCCUAGGGUUCUUGGCAACACCUAUCUCCGAGAGAAGUUUCAGAAGUUUCGACAGUGGUUAAUGUAAAUAAGCAGUCCCAGAGGAGCUCUGUGCGGUCAGGCAGAGCUGGGUGUGCUUCCGAGUCUACAGAAACACCCUUCCCCCAACUGCACACAGGAAAACUGCAUCUUCUGCCAGGUGUAAAUUGGGGGUCAUUUGAGAGAUAGAGUCAUGUAAGAAUGUGAGUGACUUUUGUAUAGGCUCAAGUACUUUCAUUUAGUGCUGAAAUCAUGUCUGGUUUGGUGGAGGGAAAAUUGGUUCUAUUAGUAGGAAAAAACAAAACAAAACAGGCAACAUUUAAAAGGAGGAUGGAAAGUCGGUUAACCUAGAUGGAACCAUUCAGUGUUAAAAAAUGGCCCUAUCUUGGGUUCAAACCCUCCCUCUGACAUUUACUGCUAUGAGAUCUUGGUGAAUGGGAAAAUAUUAUAACUGUCUAACUGGGGCUAUUGUGAAGAUGGAAUGAGAUAAAGCAUGUAAAGUGCUUAGGGUUGUACACGGUAAGCACUCAAUCAGUGCUAGUUGCUGAAACUAUUUGGCAAACCACUCUGAAUAACCUUAGCUGGUGAUCUGAAUAAAUUUGUAUUUGUGUCCCCUAA